Molecule: long non-coding RNA, 6575 nt
Organism: Antechinus flavipes (yellow-footed antechinus)
Lineage: Eukaryota; Metazoa; Chordata; Mammalia; Dasyuromorphia; Dasyuridae
Exons: 2
Source: RefSeq, a predicted model, not a curated record
AAUAGAUUCUUGAGUGUCAUGACAUGUUGACAAUGUAGAAAAGUAAUUUGAUUGGUUAGCUACUGUUUCUCAACAAUGUAAACCAAAUUCAAAUAGAAAGGGGGGGAAUAUACAGUACAUAAAGAUGUCUAUGGGUGCAUGUUGACUUAGAAAAACACAUAAUAACAUUAUCUAAGUUAUUGUAUUUUUAUUUUUUUUUGUUAGGUAUUUCUCAAUUACCUUUUAAUCCAGUUUAGCUGCUCUUGGGUUUGUUGUGAGACCCUGAAAAGCACAGGCCUUGUGUUUGACACUUCUGAUAGAAGCAAUCAUUUAAGAUCGACCAUCUCUGCAAAGGGAGAAGGAAAGUACAUCCUUCAGGAAUGACCAGCAGGAUUUCAGAGAGGCCUGGAGAGAUUUACAUGAACUGAUGCUGAGUGAAAUGAGCAGAACCAAAAGAUCAUUAUACACUUCAACAACAGUACUAUAUGAUGAUCAAUUCUGAUGGGCGUGGCUCUCGUCAACAAUGAGAUAAUUCAAACCAGUUCCAAAUGUUCAGUAACGAAGAAAAUCAGCUUCACCCAGAGAGAGAAAUGAGUGUGGUCCACAACAUAGCAUUUCCAUUCUUUCUGUUAUUGUUUGCUUGUAUUUUUGUUUUCCUUCUCAAGUUUUUUUUUACUUUCUUCCUAGAUCAGGUUUUUCUUUAGCAACAAGAUAACAGUAUAAAUAUGUAUACAUAUGUUGUAUUUAACAUAUACUUUAACAUAUUUAACAUAUAUUGAUCUACCUGCCAUCUAGGGGAGGGAGUGAGGAGAAGAUGAGGAAAAAUUGGAACAGAAGGUUUUGCAAGGGUCAGUGUUGAAAAAUUAGCCAUGCAUAUGUUUUGUAAAUAAAAAGCUAUAAUAAUAAUAAUAAUAAUAAUAACAAUAAAACUCUUCUUCAGGCCAAACUUAGAAACUAAAAUUAUUAUACUCUGUUCAGUUCUCAUUUAUAUUAUUGUAGUGAUUUUUGUAUAGAUUUUUUUUUCCUGGUUCUGCCAUGUCAUGCUGCAUCAAUUCAUAAGUCUUCACAUUCUUCUUUUAGUUUUUCAUGUUCCUCAUUUCUUAUAGCACAGAGAAAUUCCAUUAUAUUGCUAUACUACAGUUCAAUGAUUUCAUAAUCAGUUAUACUUUUUAGAAUUUAAUACCCAUGCCAUUUAAAAUAGCAAAAUGUUAUUUAAAUCCUACUGAAUGGAGAAAGGCUAUCACUAUGAUACAAAUCAUCCUAAGAAACAACUUAGAUUUAUAUAAAACUUAAAGGAUGCCAAAGAAUUUUACAAAUGUUACCAAAUUUUAUUCUGGACAAAAGCCCAGUAAGGUAGAUUGAUUGGUUGGUUGUUGUCUGUUUUCCAAGACCACCAAAAUGACUUCACUAUGUUAGAGUCAAGUUACCUUGUGUCUGACUGGCUGAUCAGACCAAUGCAAGCUCAGAAUGCUCUGCUAUAGGUCAGGUACAAAUAAUCCAUGUGAACAUUUGAGGGAGGUUCUCUAACUGCACAACUCAUGUUUCUUUUUGAGCUCCUUCAAUUCUGUUUUGCUCAAAGAGCACAGCACCUUCUCUGAUGGAGCCACAUCAUGCUGGGCAGUCCUGUUCCAGUGUCUCCCAUGUCAUACAAUCAAUUCUAAAGUUCUUAAGAGAGACCUUGAGAGGGUCCUUGUGUUGCUUUUCUGACUAUGUGAAUAUUUGCUGUGUGUGUUCUUCAUAAAUAAUCUUUUUGGAAAGUAUACAUUUGGCAUUCAAACAAUGUGGCCAGCCCAAGUAAGUUAUGCCCUGCAUUAGAAUGUGAGUGCUUGGCAGUUUAGUUUGAGAAAGAACCUCACUGUCUGGUAUCUUUUCCUUCCAGGUGAUCUUCAAAAUCUUCCUAAGACAAUUCAAAUGGAAGUGAUUUCAUCUCCUGGGAUGGUGCUGGUACACUUUCCAGGUUUUACAGCAUACAACAAUGAGGUCAACGCCACAGCUCUGUAGACCUUCAGUUUGUAGUUAGUCUAAUAUCUCUCCUCUCCCACACUUUCUUUCCCAAACACUAACUAACUCUUGCAUUGCAUGUGUCAACCUUAUUAUCAAUGUGGAUUUCUCUGGAAAAUAUACUGCCAAGGUAAAUGAAUUUAUCCACAGUAUUCGAAACUUCUCCAUUUGUUGUAACUGAUGAUGCCAAAUAGUGAUGAUGUGGUGCUAACUGAUGUCAUACCUGUGUUUUCUUGCCAUUAAUUGUUAGGCUGAAAUUAGCACAAGCAGCAGAGAAUUGAUCCAUACUUUAUUGUGUCUUAGCUUCAGAGGCUACAUUGAGGACACAAUCAUCCGCAAACAAAAAUUUGUGCACCAAGUCUCCCUCCACUUUAAUUUUGGCUUUUGUAGCCUUUUCAAGGUGAAGAAUUUACCAUUACUGCAGUAGCUGACCUUGAUGCCAUGUUUGUCCUCCUUGAGGCUAUUUGACAACUGGCUGAAAACAUCAUGAUAAAAAGUAUGGGAGCAAGCAUACAGUCUUGUUUCACUACACUGGUAGGUGGGAAAGUGUGAAGUCAUUGUCCAUUGUCCAGAACCUGGGCAAGCAUGUCCUUGUGAAACUCAUGUACAAUACUUUAAAACUUUUCUGGACAGACAAAUUUUGACAUAAUUUUCCAUAAGUCUUCACAACUGAUAGUAUCAAACUGACAGCCCUUUGUCAGAUCUACAAAUAUUGUGUCUAGAUCUCUGUUCUGCUUCUGGCAUUUCUCUUGAAGUUAUUGGGCAACAAGCACCAUAUUGACUGUUCCUCAGUCCUUUCUGUAGCCACACUGUCUCUCAGUGAGGUAAGGAAUGCAGGAUUGUUUUCCCCAUUUUGCCUAUAAGGAAACUGAAAUUGCAGAGAAGUGAAAUUACUUGUUGAGGAUGGUGCAGCUCAUAAGUAAUAGAGUGGAGCCAUAGGUCUUUAUAUUUCAUUUUUAGUGUUAUUUGCACAAAACUAGGCUUCUGCCAUUAUGAUAAAAGUGACACUAAUACAUUUUCUUCACCCAAAGGAACAAUUUCCUAGGUUAAUAAUAAACUAAUAUGAGAUUAGCUGCAUAGUAGUACAAAUAGUGAAUUAAUCAACAGAUAUUCAUUGCAUUCUUAGGAUGUGCCCGAUAUUUUUUGUUCACAGUCACAUAGGGAUGCCACUUAUUACAAGAAACGUCUCACAGACCAAAUCAAAUAUGAUUAAGCAAGGCUGAACUCUAUAUUAUAGAGUAAGCAAUGUUCUUUCAGGUGUUAUAGAUUUUUAAAAUGGGAGGAAAGAAAGGGUCUAAGGAAUAAGAGGAGGCAUUGUAAAGGAGUUGAGAGAAGCCAAGGAGGAGCCAGGGAAGGGCCUGGUUAAGAAAAAAUUCACAUGUGGACAAUCAAGACAGUCUCAGAAAUUGGACUAAGUCUAUGAUAAUGGAAACAAGAUUAUGGGUAGGUUAAAGUUACUAAUUAAAAUUCCACAUCAUUCCCUCCUUCUUCAAUUGUUAAAGUAGUCUUUUGAAAAGUGGGUGGGGCUCCUCCAUAAAUGGGAUGAGUGCUCAAUAUUUUAUUAGAUGCUGUGGGAAGUAUAGAAGUCUUCGUUGAAAAUUCAUUUAAACCAACAACAGGUCUGAGUUCCUUCUAUGUGCAAAGCAAUGACUUUUAUCCUUAAAGAAUUUAAUUGGGGAGGCAAUGUUAGCAAAGGAAACAAUUUGCAAAUGACAAGGGACAAUCCAGAAUUAACUGUGAGCACCAGCGCAGCAGCAUAUUGUAGUGGAGAGAAUUCUAGAGUAAGACUCAGGAAAACACGGGCUCAAAUUUCAACUCAAAUAUUGACUUACCAGUUGAUCCUGGACUUAAUUUCUCUCUGUUGGCCUCUGUUCCCUUAUCUCUAAAAUAAUGGUCUUGAAUGAGACCUUGUGAAGAUUUCUCAAAAAGACUAUGGGGUGGAGUAGGUCAGACCUUAAGCCUAAAUUUCAGGAAGCCACAUGAUCCACAUUCUCAGAAAUGUAAGGCAGAAAAGAUCAAACCAUAGAUCUAAGCUUCAGAAAAUCAUGUGACCUCCAGAAAGUAAACAGCGUUGUUGACCAUUGGUCAAUCCAUUUGUCAGUUGGUCAAUCUUUUUUGGUCCAUCCAAUGAUUUAAAAAUCAACAGGAAGUAGGAUUUGUGCCUGAUUCUUUCCUGCCAUAUAAUCCAUUCUCUCUUUCUGUCAUGUGCCAUAUAUCAUGCUGGACUAUCCAGUUAGUGUGCUUGGACUUCUCCUUGCAAGGACUGAAUAAAUGCUUAAUGUUUGUAUCUGCAGAUGCCUCUGAGUAGUAGGGUCUAACACCCUCUCCCGCAUAGUCUCAAUGACAUCUAUUAUCCCUUACAGGUCUAAAUUUAUGCUCCUUCAAUCCUAAGAGGCAAAUUAUAUGGUUUUGGUACCUAAUUCCGAAGAUGAGCAAAGAGUUUGUUCAGACUAGAGAAGCCAGGAAAAAAAAUGCCUUGAUAGUAUUUAGGUGGAUCCUGGGGAGGGUAUUCUAAGCAAAAGGAAGUGAAAGUGUGGGUAAAAAUGAACCUAGAAUGUGUGAAUGGACUAGCUUGAUGAUCUGUGGAUGGAGGUAGAAUGGAAAGCCAGGUGGGAUAUAGAUUGAAUUUGAUGCAGAAGAAAAUAAAGAACUAUUUUAAUAUUUUUGACCAGAGGAGUUACAAUAUGAAACUGUGAUCUGAGGAAGAUUAGUCUGGUAUAAAAUGCAGAAUGACCUGAAAUUGGGAGAGACUAAAGUCAGAAAGACAAAUAAGUCCAAGUGUAAUGAAGGCUUGAGGUAGAAGGGUGGUAACAAUGAAAACAGGAAGAAAGAAUAUUUCAAAGUAAUGAUAAAACGUGGCUAAUAUUUGGGGAAAAAAUGUGAAAGCCUUUACAUACUAUCUUUUCCACAGGGAUGAGAAUAAGAUCCACUUAGAUAAUAUAAGAAUUGCUUAUUUAGCUAUAAAUAGAUAUAUGAAGUAUAAGAGAACUUUAAAAAACCCAAUUUUAUUAAUUAUAUAACAAAAAGCACUAUAAGCCAGUUAUUCACUUUCUGAGUGAAGGUCAACAAUAAGGAAAUGUAAUCCUUUAGCAAAUAUGAUAUUCAACGAUAGGUUACAUCUUCUUGUCCAGAUAGACUUUGGAAUGUUCUUAGCAUAAUUAUUUUUUGAAAUAAUUUAAGAAUCAUACCCCAAAUGUUGAAUUUUCUCUAUUGAUAGUAGGCUUUCUUUUGUUUUUUGGAUAAUACUAGGAUUCUUUUAUAAUUUUCACCUUAUUAUUUAUCAUUUUCAAAGUAAUUUCCUCACAAACAUUCCUGUAAGGUAGAAGCUAUAGUACCAUACCCAUUUUGCAGAUGAAGAAACUUGGGGAAGCUGUAUAAAUUUGCAGGAUGAUGUAGUUGCUAACUAUUGAAGCUGGAAACUUCUGCCUGCAAGUCCAUUGCUCUUUCUCACACAUGAUUAACAAUAAUAAUAACAAUAAAUACUCUCUGGUUCAUCAUUUUUCAUUACUUGAGGUUCAGUUAGAUGUCACUGAGGAAGUCACAAGUCUGAAAUGUUCAUAAUCCUGGGAUCUAACAGAUAGAUGCCCAAUUCCUUCUCACCUUUCCCAUGGAAAAUAUAGCUAUAUAAACUCACACUUAGAAUUCUGGCUUCAGUAUUAUCGUUUAUAACUCAAGUAUCUUUUCUGAUAGCAAGUAAAAGAGCUAGGGAAGCAUGAGGAUAGUCAACAAAUACUUAUUAAGCACAUGCUAGGCAACUGUGCUAAGCAUUGAGGACACAAAGAAAGGCAGAAACUGUCCCUGCCCUCAAGGAGCUUAUAAUUUAAUGGAGAGACAGAAUGUAAACAACUAUGUAUAAGCAAGAUAUGUGCAUAAUAACCUCUAGGUAAUCUUAAAAGGAAGGCACUAGCACUAAGGAGGAUAGGAAAAAGCUUCUUUCAGAAGAUAAGAUUUUAGUUAAGAUUUGAAGGAAGCCAGAGAUACAGAGAAGAAAGGCAUUUUCAGGCAUAAGAGAAAGCUAAUGAAAAUGCUGGGAGUCAGAAAAUGGAAUAUCUUAUGAAAGGACAGUGUCACUGAAAUAUAGAAUAUGUGAAGAUAAUGUGGGGAAUAGAUAAGGUGAAGAACUUACAGGAAUGUAUGAAUUCUUUUUCUGUAUUUUAUUAUUUCUAUGUGUCCUCUAUGACCUGUAUAAUUUGUGCGGGCUCAUAUCUACUUGAGCCUUGGCCAGCUAGAAACAUAUUUACUUAACCUGAGCUGAUGACGUUUAUUGGUAGUUGACAUUUAUCGAUAUUUAGUCUAUUAGCUGCAGCACUGCCUGCUUGAUUAAGCCUGAAGGCCCGACUUUCUGUUUCCUAGAAAUCAGGAGAUUUCAGGGAAACAGAAACUUUCCAUUCCAAUCUCCCCAAAUAGCAACAACCAAUUAGAUGCCUCCCCCUUCCCUUCUCAAUGCUCUCUUACUUGUGAUGUAACUUCUUGUAUAAAAGCUAUGUAUCUUUACUACUUCUUUAGCCCUCCUACCGCGACCUUUCUCUUUCUUAUCUCGUGAUGGGACGGCUCAUCCUCCCGAGGUUUUCAAUAAACAACUUUUCUGCCUUUUA